GGUAGCGUGGCCGAGUGGUCUAUGGCGCUGUGUUCAGGUAUAGUUAGUUAUUUUACUUCGAACCGCAGUCUUCGGGCGCGGGUUCGAAUCCCGUCGCUGCCA
RNAcentral lists this transfer RNA (102 nucleotides) under Kwoniella mangroviensis CBS 8507. Its description in RNAcentral is "tRNA-Leu". It matches the Rfam family "tRNA". Rfam says of the family: Transfer RNA (tRNA) molecules are approximately 80 nucleotides in length. Their secondary structure includes four short double-helical elements and three loops (D, anti-codon, and T loops). RNAcentral also lists the same sequence under 2 other names. The record is from RNAcentral. Lineage: Eukaryota; Fungi; Basidiomycota; Tremellomycetes; Tremellales; Cryptococcaceae.